This 251-nucleotide ribosomal RNA is filed under the name uncultured bacterium. Its description in RNAcentral is "partial 16S ribosomal RNA". It matches the Rfam family "Bacterial small subunit ribosomal RNA", at positions 525 to 775 of the family's 1533-position model. The record is from RNAcentral.
ACGGAAGGUCCGGGCGUUAUCCGGAUUUAUUGGGUUUAAAGGGAGCGUAGGCCGUCUGGUAAGCGUGUUGUGAAAUGUCGGGGCUCAACUUGGGCAUUGCAGCGCGAACUGUCAGACUUGAGUGCGCGGGAAGUAGGCGGAAUUCGUCGUGUAGCGGUGAAAUGCUUAGAUAUGACGAAGAACUCCGAUUGCGAAGGCAGCCUGCUGUAGCGCAACUGACGCUGAAGCUCGAAAGCGUGGGUAUCGAACAG